Long non-coding RNA from Neltuma alba, 480 nucleotides. RefSeq lists it as uncharacterized. The record is from RefSeq and is a predicted model, not a curated record. NCBI's taxonomy places the organism in Eukaryota, Viridiplantae, Streptophyta, Magnoliopsida, Fabales, Fabaceae. The transcript has 3 exons.
UCUUCUAGUUCAUAUUCCCUUUUAGAUUUCAUUUUAUUUGUGGGUUACUUUUUAUUUCAAGGUUCAGAUCUCCCUUCUAGUUUUGUUGAAAAUAUUUCUACUGGUACUAAGUGACUGCCUUUUAGUACUGCCUUGACUAGUGACAUUGCAGAGGAUUAGCACUUCAUUUGGUUGAUUGGAUUCUCUGCAAUUCAUUCUGGGAGAUGGAAAAUGAGGGUUGGAUUAUAAUAAUUUGAGAUGCAGCAGCUCCUUUGAUAGAGUUAGCUAGAGGUCUAGUGGCAACCCAAACACAAGUUGUAGAACUAUUCAAGUAAGAAUGAAACAAACGUAGAAGCAUUUCAAGCAGAUGGAUUAGAAGUCAUACUACCAAUAAUUGUUCAUGAUGAUGAAUUAAAUAAUGAAAGAGACUUUGAAAUUCACUAUGAAGAAGUAGAUAUGUUGAUUGAUAACAUGGUUUAUGAUGAUGAUGAUGAUGAUGAU